RNAcentral lists this microRNA precursor (61 nucleotides) under Ornithorhynchus anatinus (platypus). RNAcentral describes it as "Oan-Mir-737_pre stem-loop". It matches the Rfam family "mir-737 microRNA precursor family". The record is from RNAcentral. Lineage: Eukaryota; Metazoa; Chordata; Mammalia; Monotremata; Ornithorhynchidae.
AUUUUUUUAGGUUUUGAUUUUUAUUACAUUCUCAUGCGAAAGUCAAAACCUAAAGAAAACG